AUCAGGCUAAUUGACAGGUGGCAGAAGGGGUAAAAAUGUAUAUAAUAUAAAGUGACAUUAAGGCCAUGAAGACAGACUGUACAAUAACAUGCUGAAAGUGCAAUAAGAGUUUGACGAAGGCCCACGUGUAAUCCCUUAUUGACAAUUGCAGAACUCUGGCCAACAGAUUUCACAUUGGGAUAUAAUGGCAAGUUGGGAUGAGAAACUUCUUACAGCUGCAAGGGAGGGGAAUAUAAAAGAGGUAGAAUUAUGUGUAAAGAACAGAGCUAACUUGGAAUGUAGUGAUG
Mytilus trossulus (common blue mussel) is the source of this 287-nucleotide long non-coding RNA. RefSeq lists it as uncharacterized. NCBI's taxonomy places the organism in Eukaryota, Metazoa, Mollusca, Bivalvia, Mytilida, Mytilidae. The record is from RefSeq and is a predicted model, not a curated record. The transcript is spliced from 3 exons.